GCUUGGGUGGCUCAGUUGGUUAAGCGUCUGAUUUCAGCUCAGAUCAUGAUCUUAUGGUUCGUGAGUUUGAGCCCCACAUCAGGCU
Transfer RNA from Felis catus (domestic cat), 85 nucleotides. It matches the Rfam family "tRNA". Rfam says of the family: Transfer RNA (tRNA) molecules are approximately 80 nucleotides in length. Their secondary structure includes four short double-helical elements and three loops (D, anti-codon, and T loops). Further hydrogen bonds mediate the characteristic L-shaped molecular structure. tRNAs have two regions of fundamental functional importance: the anti-codon, which is responsible for specific mRNA codon recognition, and the 3' end, to which the tRNAs corresponding amino acid is attached (by aminoacyl-tRNA synthetases). tRNAs cope with the degeneracy of the genetic code in two manners: having more than one tRNA (with a specific anti-codon) for a particular amino acid; and 'wobble' base-pairing, i.e. permitting non-standard base-pairing at the 3rd anti-codon position. NCBI's taxonomy places the organism in Eukaryota, Metazoa, Chordata, Mammalia, Carnivora, Felidae. The record is from Rfam.